RNAcentral lists this ribosomal RNA (465 nucleotides) under Vreelandella stevensii. Its description in RNAcentral is "partial 16S ribosomal RNA". It matches the Rfam family "Bacterial small subunit ribosomal RNA", at positions 338 to 795 of the family's 1533-position model. The record is from RNAcentral. Lineage: Bacteria; Pseudomonadati; Pseudomonadota; Gammaproteobacteria; Oceanospirillales; Halomonadaceae.
CCUACGGGCGGCAGCAGUGGGGAAUAUUGGACAAUGGGGGCAACCCUGAUCCAGCCAUGCCGCGUGUGUGAAGAGGGCCCUCGGGUUGUAAAGCACUUUCAGUGAGGAAGAACGCCUGGUGGUUAAUACCCAUCAGGAAAGACAUCACUCACAGAAGAAGCACCGGCUAACUCCGUGCCAGCAGCCGCGGUAAUACGGAGGGUGCGAGCGUUAAUCGGAAUUACUGGGCGUAAAGCGCGCGUAGGUGGCUUGAUAAGCCGGUUGUGAAAGCCCCGGGCUCAACCUGGGAACGGCAUCCGGAACUGUCAAGCUAGAGUGCAGGAGAGGAAGGUAGAAUUCCCGGUGUAGCGGUGAAAUGCGUAGAGAUCGGGAGGAAUACCAGUGGCGAAGGCGGCCUUCUGGACUGACACUGACACUGAGGUGCGAAAGCGUGGGUAGCAAACAGGAUUAGAUACCCUAGUAGUC